Epinephelus fuscoguttatus (brown-marbled grouper) is the source of this 3179-nucleotide RNA transcript. RefSeq lists it as uncharacterized. The transcript is spliced from 6 exons. The record is from RefSeq and is a predicted model, not a curated record. Lineage: Eukaryota; Metazoa; Chordata; Actinopteri; Perciformes; Serranidae.
ACUUGAGCUGUUCAAAGGGUGUUGGCAGGUGCCGCUGACUCCUCGGGCAAGGGAGAUCUCUGCAUUUGUGAGCCCUGACGCUUUCUUACAGUAUACGGUUAUGCCAUUCGGCGUGCGUAACGCACCUGCUACAUUUCAGCGUUUGGUAAACACGGUCUUGUCGGGCUUGUCAGGGUGCGAGGCAUAUUUGGACCAUGUGGUGGUUUCUUCGAGUUGGUGGGACGAUCACAUGCAGCAGCUUCAGGCAGUGUUUGGAAGGCUGCGUGAUGCCAAGCUCACACUCAAUUUGGCAAAGUGUGAGUUUGGUCAAGCUGCAGUGACGUAUUUGGGAAAAGUUGUGGGUCGGGGGCAAGUAAAGCCGGGGCAAGUAUUUCAUCCAGCUCACCCGUCGACUCUCUCUGAGAUCACCUAGCAGGAGUCUCGCCCGUUAUGUUUCUGUUGACUUGGUGACGGUGUGUGUUCUCAGUUUGGGGAGGAAAUCUCCACAUAUUCAUGUCUAAAAGUUUGCAAAACAGUGCAGCUUGAAGCGAGAAGUCAUGCUGGACUUUGCCAUCUCCGCUGUCACGUUUGUCAUCAUCUUGGUCGGCGCUGUUCUCUAUUUGUAUCCGACUGUCACCCAGCUGGCUCUGGGAGAGAGCUUCAAAGACGACGCCAAGGUCCUUUCCUUCCGCAAGAACCACGACGCGAUCUGGUCAGAAAUGGGAUCCCACUUCUGACACCACCGGUCGGAGGGUUAGGUGAUACGCGGUAGGUGCGCAUUUUCUGGAGGUUCCCGUUAGGCUUUAGGGCACUUUCUCCUUUGGGAUUGUGUCGGUUUGUUUUUUUCGUAGUGCUGUGGGGAGCGCUUAGUGUUGGCUGCGCAAGCAGCCUUCUCGGGGGCACUCCGUGGGCUCGCCUGUGGUGAUCCCGCUGGUUUCGUGCUUAAUCGACCCGCUGCAGAACCGCAUGAAGACCAGGGUUGAGGAUAGCCAGAUCCUGGGUUAGGCAGUUGGGGGAACGCUCUGGGGGGCCUUGCUUGCUCGUUGUGCACCUAGUCGUGUGGAUCCGGCUCCAGGUGAAUAUGGAUUUGUCAGCUUUUUACGAAGCGCCCGGUGCGGUGUUUUUGGAUUCGUGUAAGAAGGAUCAGUUGGUCCAAAUUGCUGAGCACUAUGGUAUUGCGUUGCAAGAGGGAAUGCUUAAGGAUGAAUUAAAAAUGUUUGUGUUGUUGACGUUGUUUGAGAAGGGUGUGUUACAGAAAGAGCCUGCGGCUGAGCCGGCGGCCGCGGCUGCGGUGAGGUCGGAGUCAGCCUCGGUGUCUGUGGGGCAGGUUGGGGUGCUCUCGUUUGAGCAACAGAGAGAAUUGUUGCAGCAGUGAUGUAAGGUUUGUAGUUUUUGAAAAUUCUGAAACAUUUAAAACAACUUAGCAUGGCACAAUGAAUGUAGUGCAGAUAUAGAACAAGAUAAUGUAGAUUAUAGGGGAAUUGAAAAACACCCAUAUCAGCAAGGUAAAUUACAGAAUGUGUCUGUUUAAGGCCUAGAUCCACCUGCCACUUUAGAAACAUUACCUACAUAGUUUUUCUUCACUUGCAAAUUCAUAACAUGGAUUAUUUUGUAAAUGGUAUGAGUGUACCGGUUUGACUUGUACUGGUGGUUGCUGCUGAUGGUGAUGACGUGAGGAGUCUGCGUUGAAGAUCUGUGGGUUAGAAGAGCUGACUGACGUCAAAACCCAACGUCAGUUUGACGUCCAACUCCAACGUUGGAUUCAGGUUGAUAUAUAGUUGGAAAUGAAGAUCAGACUGACGUCAAAACCCAACGUCAGUUUGACGUCCAACUCCAACGUUGGAUUCAGGUUGAUAUAUAGUUGGAAAAGAAGAUCAGACUGACGUCAAAACCCAACGUCAGUUUGACGUCCAACUCCAACGUUGGAUUCAGGUUGAUAUAUAGUUGGAAAAGAAGAUCAGACUGACGUCAAAACCCAACGUCAGUUUGACGUCCAACUCCAACGUUGGAUUCAGGUUGAUAUAUAGUUGGAAAAGAAGAUCAGACUGACGUCAAAACCCAACGUCACUUUGACGUCCAACUCCAACGUUGGAUUCAGGUUGAUAUAUAGUUGGAAAAGAAGAUCAGACUGACGUCAAAACCCAACGUCAGUUUGACGUCCAACUCCAACGUUGGAUUCAGGUUGAUAUAUAGUUGGAAAAGAAGAUCAGACUGACGUCAAAACCCAACGUCACUUUGACGUCCAACUCCAACGUUGGAUUCAGGUUGAUAUAUAGUUGGAAAAGAAGAUCAGACUGACGUCAAAACCCAACGUCACUUUGACGUCCAACUCCAACGUUGGAUUCAGGUUGAUAUAUAGUUGGAAAAGAAGAUCAGACUGACGUCAAAACCCAACGUCACUUUGACGUCCAACUCCAACGUUGGAUUCAGGUUGAUAUAUAGUUGGAAAAGAAGAUCAGACUGACGUCAAAACCCAACGUCAGUUUGACGUCCAACUCCAACGUUGGAUACACGUUGAUAGUUGAAAAUGAAGAUCUGACUGACCUCAAAUCCACGUUAUAAAUGUUAAUUAAUAGUUCUCUAAAUUUAAAUGAAAGCAGUUGCAACGCGUUCUGUUUCUACUCGGUACGAAUCACGGACACGUUUCUGACGUCACAAUUCAUAAUUUAUCUAGAAAAUAAAAUGAUAUAAAAGCGUCAAAUAGAGCUUGUUCAUAAAAAAUGUCCCACGUGAGGACCCCCCUUCACCGGUCCAGGCUUUAUAUGACAUUUUGUAAUUAUUUUAUCCAGACACUUUAUUAAUAUUUAUUUUAUCAACAUUUUUUCAUACAUUAUAUUAACAUAUUUUUCUGACAUUUUAUGAAUAUUUUUUUCGUGAAUUUUAUCCACAUUUUGUCAGACAUUUUGUCAACAUUUUUCGGACAUUAUAUUAACAAAUUUAAGACAUUUUAUUAGUAUUUUUUCAGUCAUUUAAUCAACAUUUUUUCUGGCAUUUUAUUAAUAUUUUUCGGACAUUAUAUUAACACAUUUACAACAUUUUAUUAGUACUUUUCAGACGUUUUGUCAACAUUUUUUUGCACAUUUUAUCAAUAUUUUUUUCAGACAUUUUGAUAAUAUUUUUUACCAACAUUUUUUUCAGGCACUUUAUGAACAUUUUUUCCAAAAAAAAGUCAUUAAUAUUUUUCACACAUUUCAUAAACA